CUUCCAGCCUGGAAGAUAGACUUGAUGGCUGGAGCACCACCUGCCAUCUUGGACCAUGAGGUGACCUUGAAGAUGGAAACUAUAUGCUGAGUACGACUGACUGCCUCACUUAUGUACACAACCUCCUGGGCUCCUGAAGGCAUUCAUGAGGACCACCCUUGGAAAUGAUUCUUUCAACCUGCGACUUUACAAAUGGAGGGAGUGGAGAGAAUUCACCGAGAAUGUUUCAGCUUGCACUAGGAAAUGAUUCACUAGCAAUGAACCGAAAUACGGACGCACUGAUAACAGACAACAAGUAACACAGCGCGCGGCUCCAAUGUUAAUUUCGAAUUUCUCUCCAUUAAGAGAAAGCCAUAGGAUUAAGGAAGCAUUUCUCAGUCAUGCUGGACUUCAAUUCCAAUUGGGUCGGAGUCCGUAUUUUCUUGUAUCUGGACUUGAAGGAUUUUCAGUCUGUCUUUAUCAACUAUAGACUGUUCACUCAUCAACUAUGGGUCCAGACUUCUAACUACUGUUGCUUCCCGGUUGCUGCUGAAUAGAUCGUACAAGGUGGGAUAUCAGUUGGCCCCACUUGAAUGGAAGCUCUUUGAGGCCAGAAAUCACGUCUGCUGUUCUCACCACCGUCUCACCAGCACCAAGCAUACGGGGCCUGGAGCAUAGCGGUCACCCAGGGCUUCAGAGAGACAGAGUGUGAGUCGGGGAGGAGCAAAGAGAGAGAGAGACACACACAGAAU
Molecule: long non-coding RNA, 731 nt
Organism: Felis catus (domestic cat)
Lineage: Eukaryota; Metazoa; Chordata; Mammalia; Carnivora; Felidae
Exons: 3
Source: RefSeq, a predicted model, not a curated record